Molecule: ribosomal RNA, 231 nt
Filed under: uncultured bacterium
Lineage: Bacteria
Description: partial 16S ribosomal RNA
Rfam family: Bacterial small subunit ribosomal RNA
Source: RNAcentral
ACGGGUGAGUAACAUGUAUCCAACCUGCCGUCUACUCUUGGACAGCCUUCUGAAAGGAAGAUUAAUACAAGAUGGCAUCAUGAGUCCGCAUGUUCACAUGAUUAAAGGUAUUCCGGUAGACGAUGGGGAUGCGUUCCAUUAGAUAGUAGGCGGGGUAACGGCCCACCUAGUCUUCGAUGGAUAGGGGUUCUGAGAGGAAGGUCCCCACAUUGGAACUGAGACACGGUCCAA